This 85-nucleotide small nucleolar RNA is filed under the name Macleaya cordata. RNAcentral describes it as "Small nucleolar RNA U31b". It matches the Rfam family "Small nucleolar RNA U31b". The record is from Rfam by way of RNAcentral. Lineage: Eukaryota; Viridiplantae; Streptophyta; Magnoliopsida; Ranunculales; Papaveraceae.
GAAGCAUGAUGAUAGUUUUUUUUUUGCCCCCGUCUUACAUGCAACUCUUGGUGCAAGAUGAUUAUUGACAUCAAUUAUCUGAUUC